RNAcentral lists this ribosomal RNA (508 nucleotides) under Bacillus subtilis. Its description in RNAcentral is "bacterial SSU rRNA". It matches the Rfam family "Bacterial small subunit ribosomal RNA", at positions 553 to 1060 of the family's 1533-position model. Lineage: Bacteria; Bacillati; Bacillota; Bacilli; Caryophanales; Bacillaceae. The record is from RNAcentral.
AUUGGGCGUAAGGGCUCGCAGGCGGUUUCUUAAGUCUGAUGUGAAAGCCCCCGGCUCAACCGGGGAGGGUCAUUGGAAACUGGGGAACUUGAGUGCAGAAGAGGAGAGUGGAAUUCCACGUGUAGCGGUGAAAUGCGUAGAGAUGUGGAGGAACACCAGUGGCGAAGGCGACUCUCUGGUCUGUAACUGACGCUGAGGAGCGAAAGCGUGGGGAGCGAACAGGAUUAGAUACCCUGGUAGUCCACGCCGUAAACGAUGAGUGCUAAGUGUUAGGGGGUUUCCGCCCCUUAGUGCUGCAGCUAACGCAUUAAGCACUCCGCCUGGGGAGUACGGUCGCAAGACUGAAACUCAAAGGAAUUGACGGGGGCCCGCACAAGCGGUGGAGCAUGUGGUUUAAUUCGAAGCAACGCGAAGAACCUUACCAGGUCUUGACAUCCGGGGGUACUCCUAGAGAUAGGACGUCCCCUUCGGGGGCAGAGUGACAGGUGGUGCAUGGUUGUCGUCAGCU